AACGAACGCUGGCGGCAGGCCUAACACAUGCAAGUCGAGCGAGGACUUCGGUCCUAGCGGCGGACGGGUGAGUAACGCGUGGGAACGUGCCCUUUGCUUCGGAAUAGCCCUGGGAAACUGGGAGUAAUACCGGAUGAGCCCUUUGGGGGAAAGAUUUAUCGGCGAAGGAUCGGCCCGCGUUGGAUUAGGUAGUUGGUGGGGUAAUGGCCUACCAAGCCGACGUUCCAUAGCUGGUUUGAUAGGAUGAUCAGCCACACUGGGACUGAGACACGGCCCAGACUCGUACGGGAGGCAGCAGUGGGGAAUCUUAGACAAUGGGGGAAACCCUGAUCUAGCCAUGCCGCGUGAGCGAUGAAGGCCUUAGGGUUGUAAAGCUCUUUCAGCUGGGAAGAUAAUGACGGUACCAGCAGAAGAAGCCCCGGCUAACUCCGUG
This 433-nucleotide ribosomal RNA is filed under the name uncultured bacterium. RNAcentral's name for it is "partial 16S ribosomal RNA". It matches the Rfam family "Bacterial small subunit ribosomal RNA", at positions 29 to 507 of the family's 1533-position model. The record is from RNAcentral.